CAUUAGCCACGGUAAUACGUAGGUGGCAAGCGUUGUCCGGAAUUAUUGGGCGUAAAGGGCUCGCGGCGGUUUCUUAAGUCUGAUGUGAAAGCCCCCGGCUCAACCGGGGAGGGUCAUUGGAAACUGGGAAACUUGAGUGCAGAAGAGGAGAGUGGAAUUCCACGUGUAGCGGUGAAAUGCGUGGAGAUGUGGAGGAACACCAGUGGCGGAGGCGACUCUCUGGUCUGUAACUGACGCUGAGGAGCGAAAGCGUGGGGAGCGAACAGGAUUAGAUACCCCAGUAGUCCCUGUCUCUUAUACA
Molecule: ribosomal RNA, 301 nt
Filed under: uncultured bacterium
Lineage: Bacteria
Description: partial 16S ribosomal RNA
Rfam family: Bacterial small subunit ribosomal RNA
Source: RNAcentral